RNAcentral lists this ribosomal RNA (374 nucleotides) under uncultured organism. Its description in RNAcentral is "partial 16S ribosomal RNA". It matches the Rfam family "Bacterial small subunit ribosomal RNA", at positions 527 to 896 of the family's 1533-position model. The record is from RNAcentral.
GUAGGUGGCAAGCGUUGUCCGGAAUUAUUGGGCGUAAAGCGCGCGCAGGUGGUUCCUUAAGUCUGAUGUGAAAGACCCCCGGGCUCAACCGGGGAGGGUCAUUGGAAACUGGGGAACUUGAGUGCAGGAGAGGAAAGUGGAAUUCCACGUGUAGCGGUGAAAUGCGUAGAUAUGUGGAGGAACACCAGUGGCGAAGGCGACUUUCUGGCCUGUAACUGACACUGAGGCGCGAAAGCGUGGGGAGCAAACAGGAUUAGAUACCCUGGUAGUCCACGCCGUAAACGAUGAGUGCUAAGUGUUGGGGGGUUUCCGCCCCUCAGUGCUGCAGCUAACGCAUUAAGCACUCCGCCUGGGGAGUACGGUCGCAAAGACUG